RNAcentral lists this long non-coding RNA (237 nucleotides) under Lathyrus oleraceus (garden pea). Its description in RNAcentral is "Pisum sativum (pea) long non-coding RNA (PSAT_LNC015481)". The record is from RNAcentral. Lineage: Eukaryota; Viridiplantae; Streptophyta; Magnoliopsida; Fabales; Fabaceae.
GAUUUAGGGUUUUAGGGACUUGGGUUGACUUUGGUCAAAGUUGACCAAAAAGUCAACUGUUGACCAAAGUUAACAUUUGGUCAAAAGUUGCCAAGACUUGUAAUUUUUCAUGUAAUGAUCAAUGUAAUGGUUUAUAGAUGGUUAUUUGGAAGUUAAAUGUUUCUCAAGUUGUUUUUAUUUUACAAUGGAUUUUGUAUUUGUAUGUGCUUGAAUUGAAAUGAACAUGGUCAUGACUUG